GAGCAAGCGUUGUCCGGAAUCAUUGGGCGUAAAGCGCGCGUAGGCGGCCCGAUAAGUCCGCUGUGAAAGUCAACGGCUCAACUGUUGAAAGCCGGUGGAUACUGUCGGGCUAGAGUACGGAAGAGGCAAGUGGAAUUCCUGGUGUAGCGGUGGAAUGCGCAGAUAUCAGGAGGAACACCCAUAGCGAAGGCAGCUUGCUGGGACGUUACUGACGCUAAGGCGCGAAAGCGUGGGGAGCGAACAGG
Molecule: ribosomal RNA, 245 nt
Filed under: uncultured bacterium
Lineage: Bacteria
Description: partial 16S ribosomal RNA
Rfam family: Bacterial small subunit ribosomal RNA
Source: RNAcentral